UUUUUGCAGCUCCAAGUUCACUUUUUCCUCUUCCCACAUGAA
RNAcentral lists this small RNA (42 nucleotides) under Arabidopsis thaliana (thale cress). RNAcentral's name for it is "ATSL042230". Lineage: Eukaryota; Viridiplantae; Streptophyta; Magnoliopsida; Brassicales; Brassicaceae. The record is from RNAcentral.